This 265-nucleotide ribosomal RNA is filed under the name uncultured Eubacteriales bacterium. RNAcentral describes it as "uncultured Clostridiales bacterium partial 16S ribosomal RNA". It matches the Rfam family "Bacterial small subunit ribosomal RNA", at positions 75 to 339 of the family's 1533-position model. The record is from RNAcentral. Lineage: Bacteria; Bacillati; Bacillota; Clostridia; Eubacteriales.
CCAAAUGAUAGGAAUGCUUAGUGGCGGACUGGUGAGUAACGCGUGAGGAACCUGCCUUUCAGAGGGGGACAACAGUUGGAAACGACUGCUAAUACCGCAUGACACUUUUGGGAGACAUCUCCUGGAAGUCAAAGCUUUAUGUGCUGAAAGAUGGCCUCGCGUCUGAUUAGCUGGUUGGUGAGGUAACGGCCCACCAAGGCGACGAUCGGUAGCCGGACUGAGAGGUUGAACGGCCACAUUGGGACUGAGACACGGCCCAGACUCC